GCGGCGAGCGGCGGACGGGUGAGUAAUGCCUAGGAAAUUGCCCUGAUGUGGGGGAUAACCAUUGGAAACGAUGGCUAAUACCGCAUGAUGCCUACGGGCCAAAGAGGGGGACCUUCGGGCCUCUCGCGUCAGGAUAUGCCUAGGUGGGAUUAGCUAGUUGGUGAGGUAAGGGCUCACCAAGGCGACGAUCCCUAGCUGGUCUGAGAGGAUGAUCAGCCACACUGGAACUGAGACACGGUCCAGACUCCUACGGGAGGCAGCAGUGGGGAAUAUUGCACAAUGGGCGCAAGCCUGAUGCAGCCAUGCCGCGUGUAUGAAGAAGGCCUUCGGGUUGUAAAGUACUUUCAGUAGGGAGGAAGGUUCAUGCGUUAAUAGCGUAUGGAUUUGACGUUACCUACAGAAGAAGCACCGGCUAACUCCGUGCCAGCAGCCGCGGUAAUACGGAGGGUGCGAGCGUUAAUCGGAAUUACUGGGCGUAAAGCGCAUGCAGGUGGUUAGUUAAGUCAGAUGUGAAAGCCCGGGGCUCAACCUCGGAAUUGCAUUUGAAACUGGCUGACUAGAGUACUGUAGAGGGGGGUAGAAUUUCAGGUGUAGCGGUGAAAUGCGUAGAGAUCUGAAGGAAUACCGGUGGCGAAGGCGGCCCCCUGGACAGAUACUGACACUCAGAUGCGAAAGCGUGGGGAGCAAACAGGAUUAGAUA
RNAcentral lists this ribosomal RNA (700 nucleotides) under uncultured bacterium. Its description in RNAcentral is "bacterial SSU rRNA". It matches the Rfam family "Bacterial small subunit ribosomal RNA", at positions 88 to 784 of the family's 1533-position model. The record is from RNAcentral.